RNAcentral lists this transfer RNA (56 nucleotides) under Liposcelis sculptilimacula. Its description in RNAcentral is "tRNA-His". Lineage: Eukaryota; Metazoa; Arthropoda; Insecta; Psocodea; Liposcelididae. The record is from RNAcentral.
GCCUAUUCAAUAAAAUUUUUUUAAUUAAUAUUAUGGUUAUUAUAGUUAGAGAGGCA